Molecule: long non-coding RNA, 2957 nt
Organism: Dromaius novaehollandiae (emu)
Lineage: Eukaryota; Metazoa; Chordata; Aves; Casuariiformes; Dromaiidae
Exons: 6
Source: RefSeq, a predicted model, not a curated record
CUGGGGACACUAGGCUGUACAGACUUUAGCAUGACAUGUAUGUGUUUUUUGCUUUUCUAUGUUAACAGUAAGAACCAAGAAAAAUCCAAUACAAAAUGUGAGCUUGAAUAUAAAAUGAAACUUAGAACUUGUUUGCAGUCAGGCCCUGAGAGAAAGUAACUGUAGAGUCAAAGGCCUUUCACUAGCUAUAUCCUAGCUUCAGCUCCUAAGAAAUCCAGCUAUAUUGCAUGCUGCAUCUGAGCUGUUCUCAACUAGUGGAAUGAAAGGUAAUAACUAGAUUGCUGCAAUAGCCAAGGUGUUUAUUAAUCUAAGACACUGUGAAAAAGCCUUCCACUCUGCCUUAAUCCCCCACACCCAAGAAUAUAUAGAUAUGUUGUACAUUUCAUCUUAAAACUUGCCAAUAAUUUACAGAAAACUUUGGCUUGUCAGAAUUAGGCAAAAAUUAUUAAAAAAUAUUAAAAACUCCUUUGUAUUACUCAUGUCCUAGAAACUGUCACCUUCCUUUGCCCCCACUCCCCCACCCCCGCACAUUUUCCACUUGAAGAGAAUUAAUAUCUCAUUUUCUGUCACCAGUGCAGUGAUGCUAGUCCUGACACUGCUGCUGGUGCUAUAAAAGCAGGUCAGUCUCUCUCAGGUUUGAGCGCCUAGUCUUUGGGAAGAGUAAGUAAAAGCACUCCUCUAAGUCUAGGUAAGGUCCUUCCUUCUCAUUUCACUUCUAAUUAGAAUUGCUACCAUCUCUCUUUCUUUUGUGAGGGCUGCAAAUCCAGUUGGGGAUCUGGCAAGCUGAUCUCUGACAAUAUCAAAUGCUCUAAGAACUCUUAAUCGAAGGCAGUCCAUGAAAGCACCCCGGGGAGUGCUUUAUUCUCUGUGUUUAAAAGGACAUGAAAGUACAAUAGUUCUCUUUAUACUUGUACAAAGCAGCCAAUUGAUCUUGUCAGUUUAAUAAAUAAUACAAUUGCUUCCAUCAGACACUGUUAAUAUAGUCCUGUCUGGACUAAUAUUGUACAGAAUUGUACAAGUAUAGAAAUGCUACCUACCUGUAUCUGCCCUGGAUUAACCACCUCUCCCACUUUAUCACCUAAAGGCAAAGCUUCCAGUAAUAGUCCCUGGAGGGCAUCAGGUCCCCAGAUCAUCUCUUUCUUCAUUUUAACAUAUGUUCUUGGAAGACACAAACUAAUUUCCUGAUGCAUCUGUUGUCUGGCUGGUUCCAUUUGUACAGAUAUAAAGAAGCUCAAGAAUGCAAAAUAGGCAGCAGGUUUGCUCCGCUUGAAUCAGACAGCAACAGACUUGUGUAUACAAUAUUGACAAGAAACACAGAGCAGCUGGGCUCUACCCCUGAGAACAGUGGAGCUGCAGAUGAAAACAUCUGAACCCUUCAGAAAAGGCUUUGGAUGAGGACUUUCCUGCGGGGAAAAAAUUUAUCAAUGGAGAGAUGAUGGCGACCAGACCUGGACAAAAAGCUCUAAUAAGAGCAAAAUGUGCUGUCUUCUAUAAAUGUCCUGAAGACUGUGAUUGCUGCUUGCCUGGCAGCUUCCAGGCAGUCACACAUCUCUUCUUGUCCACGCGCAGUGUUGUGGAAGGACUCCUCACCCUCUCCAGGAUCUUCUCUUGAGGGACCUGUGCCUUAUGGUCAACCAUGAAUGGACUUCGUCAGUGAGAGUGAGCAUGGCUUGGGGAGACCACUGUUGCUUUGCUGAGAUGCCUGCAGAAGGACAUUGUUUUGGAUAGGCAUGUGCUUGAAUAGAAGUCUGAUCCUAAAAGGUGUUGCCCUGCAAGAGUGUUGAUCCCAGGGAGUCUUCAGGUUCCGCAUGUUUUAAGUUGCUUUGACUAUUCACCUGUCUUGCUUAGGUAAUAGCUAUAAUAUUCCCCUAAAAUUUGGUCCAAGAUUAUAAACUCAAAACCCAGGGUGCUGUCACUAUACUAAUCUCUUUUUACACAGCUGUCAAUCCAACUUGUAGGCUGGUGCCUGCCCCAUGGUGCAGCCACUGUACACUCUUUCUGUGCACCACCACUUUCCAUCAUUAUCUCCUCUAAUCCUAAUACCCUACACAGUUCUGCUUACAACUUUCUACAGACCAAACCCACACCUUCCUCCUUAGUUUUCUAACACAGAUAAGCCACAGCAUCUGUUUACUGACCCAGUGGUACCCCCUGACAUCCCUCUCCUGGCCCCUGUGUUGGAAUGAGUCAUAAAAAUGCUGCUCAUUUCAUCUUUACUAGGCAUUUCGAAAAGGCUUGGAAAAUGAGAUGCUGUCUGUCUGAGGGUGUCUCAAAAUGCAUAGGCUCAGUUAACUAUGGAUUAAAAACCACCUGGAGGGCUUUUUUUUUUUUUUUUUUGAUCUGUGAAAAUUUAAAUUCAGCAGCCAGUGUUUCCUCUGCAACAGAGGAUGAAAUUACCACCUCUCGACUCCAAGCAAAAAAUCUGCUUUCCCUGAAUUCCUUACAGUGCUUUAGCUGUUAGUGAUUAACAGUGUCUGCCUUCAUUUCUACCUCUAUCAUCACAAUACUAGAUUUUGUACAUGUAUGAUAAGUGAUGCAGGUACACCACCUAUUGUUAAAGUGGACUAGCACUUCCAACAAUGAAAAUGCAUUCCAGCUGCUUAUAGUUUUGCAAAAUUGUAACUGUUUGGGUUGAAUCUCCCCAUCCAGAGUGUUUGCUUCAUACUGAUUAAUUUGUUUUAAAUUUCAGAAAAAUGAUUCAGCUGUUUUAUGACCAAGAUAAAGGAAACAUACUUACUGGGUUACAGCAGAGGUUUUUCCUUCUUGUGAAAGAAAUUCUGCCACCCACAUGCUUUGGACUUGAAACUUGUCUUGUCUCAGAUGUGUCUUCUGGUGUCAGGACUUGAAACUUGUCUUGUCUCAGAUGUGUCUUCUGGUGUCAGGCCGGCCUGUGCUAAGAGUCUGUGCAAAACAACUGCUGAAAUCUCAGUCUGUUUUGUUGCCUCUUGUUGUAGCCU